AUGAAUUUGGAGGAAUUAGAUGUAAAUUAUCCGCGUAAUAAGUUUGAAAUUGAUGAGUUAUGUGAUUUUGAUUUGAUAUAGCGAAGUUUCAUCCAGUUUGAAGGAAUUAGAUGUAAGUUAUCCGCGUAAUAAGCUUGAAAUUGAUGCUUAGCGUAGUUAUAACAUUAGUGAAAUUAUGAUCACUGGUGCUGGAAUUAAAUGUUUGUGUUGUGGUUUGCGGAAUCUGAUUAAAAUUAAUAUCUCAAUGAAUCCUCUGCUUACAGAUAGGUCACUCUUUACAAAAAUCUGAUUUAGUUCUUGAUGAGAACUUUCAUAUUGUUAUUUCUUCAAGGUUUGUCUUUGAAGGGAGUGAUGAAGGUUCAAUUAGUUGGGCACUUGAUGGCGCAUUUUCAUAUUACCUAGCAUUUUCAUAACAUAUAAUUACUUCAUCUUACCAUUUAGUAUUCUUAGUUUCUUACCAUUUAGUAUUCAAAAAGUAUUAUAUGUUAUAACUAUAUCCAGUGACAUAAAUUAUUGAAGCUUAAUGAAGCAUAAGGAACUAGAGAUUAUGUAGAUGUUCUUCAUAUGUUUCAGUGAAUAUGUUCUAACUCUCUAUGUGAUCAAAUGUGUAAUCUCUCUUUUGAGCCAAGUCAAAUAAUACUCACUGGUAAAGAUGUUUGAUCUUGACAGUCGACACUCUAUUAUAGCCCUAAACCCGUGACCCAUUGGUGCCAGAGAUUGCUCACAUGUAAAAAACUUACGAGUCUGAGUACGAGGCCACUGCUCAUAGCUAGACACAUAAGUAUGCCAUGGGCUGAUCUCUUGAGUCUUGUUUGUAUUCUUGGAAUGUCUCAGUGAAGAAAUGGUUGUUAAGAUAUUUCACCUCAGCACAAAGAUGACAACACAAUAAUAGACUGUUGUUUGACCCGCUUGAAUUAUUGCUAAAACUUGUAUUCACAAGAUUUAUAUAUAUUCUGCUACUUCAACUUGCAUAUCUAAUAUUUCCUUUUCGCCACUGGCUACACACAAGGAACUUGUUAGCUAAUCCAAGGUUUACACUCGCCGUACGGGUUAGCACUUAGUAUCAUAAUUGACUUCAUCUUAAAGAGACCUGACUCACACUUUUCCUAAUAGAUACCUGGAUGGGUUAGAUUAUCAAAUUGCUAGGCUUGGAGCAAGUAUGCUAAACUGGAAAGAUCUUUGAGUGAAAAAAAAAAAUGGGCCCGAGCCCUAUUUGAGUCUAAAAUUGCACAACCUGCACUUGACAUGUCAGACUUGUGCAAACUCAAUAUAACAAAGUGCUCAGCGACUCAACUCGAUGUCCUGCAAGGGUUCGGAUAGGAACUGAAUUCGACAACUUUCCUUCAAGAGGCUUGUUCGUCAACUCUUGCUAUUCACACUACCAAACUGGAAUUCAAUAAAACAUGGCUAAGAAAUGAUUCUCCACUGUUGGGUGGCGCGGCUCGUGACCCUAGCCUAGUUCGGUAUAUGAAGCUGGAGCUAAGAAUACACCUGUUGCCUGAUUUUUCUAUUAGGAUGGUGUGCUGCUAAUAGUACUGCUAAUAAUGUAUUCACAAAAGAAUGAGAGCAGGUGACUCUAGGCAUGGCGAGUGCAUGGGGCCUUAAUGGUAAAUUUUGUUUUACUGCAGUUUUGGUAUACACAUUUAUUUUUCUGCUUAUAUAGGUGGAAAUACAAUUCAUAGUGUUCAGCCGGUUUAUGCAUUUACAAUCAACUUAAGUUGAUUCAUAAUUUAUCAUCUCCACCUCUACAUAACACUUGGAAGAGAAAUGGGAAAUUUGGGAUAAAAUCCGAAGUAUGGCUUCUUUCGUGACCUCGCUCUUAGUUGUCAUAUGAAAUUAUGAUUAUGAAGUUAUUGAUCUUUUUUUUUGUAAUUACAAUGUUUAUCAAAGACAAACGGAAGGCGACAAGCAUGAACAUGAUGGAUUAGCCACUUAAAAAAGUAGCAACUCCUGACGGGUCGCAUUUCGUUAAGGUAGAGGUAUCAUGAUUAUUUGUAGGCAGGAUCUUUGACAUUUUGUGCAGGCAGGAGGUCACAGGAACAUGGUAUAUGGCAUAGGAUCUUCGGAUCUGCAUUACAUGGUGACUGGGACGUCAUCCUCUUCUAGCGGAUGUGCAUCAUCAUCUGCUGAGUACCAACGGUCCCUAUAAGAGGCUCAAGCCAUGCGAGAACAAUUGGCAGACAUUCAAGGUCUCGUCUUGAAAAUGAGACAAAGGCAAGGAAAGUCUUAGAACUCAUCUUGAAAUUGAGAGAACGAGAGAAGAUCUUCAACAACACAUAAACGAAGCAGUGUAAAAAGAGUUGCACAACUUCAUGAAGAAUUGACGUCCUAGUAUUUAGUUAUCAGCUGGUAUCGUUUUAAACAUAUGCACGUUAAGAGUUUAUUUGUUUUGUGGUUUAGACGUACUAGAUCUUGCGUU
This 2419-nucleotide long non-coding RNA is filed under the name Helianthus annuus (common sunflower). Lineage: Eukaryota; Viridiplantae; Streptophyta; Magnoliopsida; Asterales; Asteraceae. The record is from RNAcentral.